CCUACGGGAGGCAGCAGUCGAGAAUAUUUGGCAAUGGGCGAAAGCCUGACCCAGCAACGCCGCGUGAAGGAAGGAGGCUUUCGGGUUGUAAACUUCUUUUCUCAUGGACGAAGCAAGUGACGGUACCUGAUGAAUAAGCCACGGCUAACUACGUGCCAGCAGCCGCGGUAAUACGUAGGUGGCAAGCGUUAUCCGGAUUUACUGGGUGUAAAAGGCGUGUAGGCGGAAGUGCAAGUCAGAUGUGAAAACUAUGGGCUCAACCCAUAGCCGGCAUUUGAAACUGUACUUCUUGAGUGCUGGAGAGGCAAUCGGAAUUCCGGGUGUAGCGGUGAAAUGCGUAGAUAUACGGAGGAACACCAGUGGCGAAGGCGGAUUGCUGGACAGUAACUGACGCUGAGGCGCGAAAGCGAGGGGAGCAAACAGGAUUAGAUACCCGUGUAGUC
This 443-nucleotide ribosomal RNA is filed under the name uncultured bacterium. RNAcentral describes it as "partial 16S ribosomal RNA". It matches the Rfam family "Bacterial small subunit ribosomal RNA", at positions 338 to 795 of the family's 1533-position model. The record is from RNAcentral.